GCUCCCACACUGACUGACUGCCUCUCUGCACUAGCUGGCUCCCACAAUGACUGUCUCUCUGCACUAGCUGUCUCCUACCAUGACUGACUGUCUCUCUACACUAGCUGUCUCCCACCAUGACUGACUGUCUCUCUACACUAGCUGGCUUCCACCCUGACUGAGGGUCUAAUUGCACAUGGUGCCCAAACUGACUAACUGCCUCUCUGCACUAGCUGGCUUCCACCCUGACUGACGGUCUCAUUGCACAUGGUGCCCACUCUGACUCUCUCUCUGCACCAGCUGACACCCACACUUGCUGGCUGUCUCUCUGCACUACCUGGCACCCUGACCGUCUCUCUCUUACCAUUACCUGGUCCUCAACUUCACUGGCUGUCUCUCUGCACUAGCAGGCACCCACCAUGACUGUCUGUGUGUCAGCACUAGCUGUCACUCUGCCUUGCUGGCACCCACCAUAACUGUCUGUGUGUCAGCACUAGCUGGGACCAUGACUAGCUGUCUCUCUGCCUUGCUGGCACCCACCAUGACUGUCUGUCAGCACUAGCUGGGACCAUGACUAGCUGUCUCUCUGCCUUGCUGGCACCCACCAUGACUGUCUGUCAGUACUAGCUGGGACCAUGACUAGCUGUCUCUAUGCCUAGCUGGCACCCACCAUCACUGUCUGUGUGUCAGCACUAGCUGGAACCAUGACUAGCUGUCUCUCUGCACUAGCUGGUACCCACCAUGACUGUCUGUCUGUCAGCACUAGCUGGGACCAUGACUAGCUGUCUCUCUGCAUUAGCAGGCACCCACCAUGAUUGUCUGUGUGUCAGCACUAGCUAGGACCAUGACUAGCUG
Molecule: non-coding RNA, 834 nt
Organism: Pelobates cultripes (western spadefoot toad)
Lineage: Eukaryota; Metazoa; Chordata; Amphibia; Anura; Pelobatidae
Source: the annotation of a GenBank genome assembly